AAGAAUAUAAGAUAUUAUUGUCUCACAAUCACUUGUGAUUAAAUCCAUGAAGUGACUCAAAUAGGCGUGGGUUGAAUCCAAUACUCGAAUCUUAUUCUAGGAGUACUCAUGUGAUUAAAUCCAUGAAGUGACUCAAAUAGGCGUGGGUUGAAUCCAAUACUCGAAUCUUAUUCUAGGAGUACUCAUGAACACUGCAGCCACCUUGUCCUAGACAAACUACAGACCCAUUCAUGGCAGUCUUGCCUCAAUACCUACUUCCAAAGUAGGAUCGAAUGUGGAUGGUUUGAAUAACCUAGUUAUUCGGGAAGUCAAAACAUGCAAAAUGAAACACAAGAAUAAUACUAAUCCAAUAUGGCCACAAAACUUUUGAGCCAUAUUGAUUACUCAUCAUUCAUUGUAUAAUGUUUUGAAUAAUCAACUUAAUACUUGAAUUGAAACAAUAGUUAUGUCAUGCUCCAAGCAUACACACUAUGUUUGUCUAAACGAUAGUUAUGCCAUGCACCAAGCAUGAACACUAUGUUUGUUUGUGGCCCUUAAUUUUUAAAAUAUAUCAAUUGAAAAACAUUUCAAUGAUGCUCAUUUCAAAAUUCCAAAUCC
RNAcentral lists this long non-coding RNA (597 nucleotides) under Lactuca sativa (garden lettuce). Its description in RNAcentral is "long non-coding RNA (LSAT_LNC007290)". Lineage: Eukaryota; Viridiplantae; Streptophyta; Magnoliopsida; Asterales; Asteraceae. The record is from RNAcentral.